Megalobrama amblycephala (Wuchang bream) is the source of this 1389-nucleotide non-coding RNA. The record is from the annotation of a RefSeq genome assembly. NCBI's taxonomy places the organism in Eukaryota, Metazoa, Chordata, Actinopteri, Cypriniformes, Xenocyprididae.
UUAUGUCAGAAGGCGGAGCUUAACACAGAAACACAUUAGUUCAGUGAUCAGCAUCACAUACAGCAUCACUCAGGCAAGCAGCAGCUACCAUCAUGUUCACUUGUGUCCUUAUAUUGCUGACUUUAACAGAAGGUAACAGAGCUAAAGAGGUCAUCACUCCAUACAGUGAUGCAGCAUUUGCCACUGAGACCGAGAGUGUGAAACUCUCUUGUAACUACAGCGGUUCUGUUAAUAGUCUUCACUGGUAUCGACAAUAUGCAGGUUCACCACCACAGUUCCUCAUACUGGAAUCCUAUGGAACAGUUACUCCCGCUAAUCCUCCAGUUCCUGGAAUAUCCAUCAGUCACAGAAAAGAAGACAAACAUGUGGAUCUGAUCAUCUCCUCUGCUGCAGUAUCAGACUCUGCUCUGUAUUACUGUGCUCUGAGGCCCACAGUCACAGGAAACACAAGAUCACUGUACAAAAACCUGACUGAUGUUAGUCUUACAGUCAGAUGUUGUCAAAAACAACACAUCUCCAUACAGGUAACAGUUUGAAAAUAAAUUUGAAUUAUUGUAUUUUAAUUAUUGUAUGAGAGUAUUUUGAAGAACAUUGAUGGAAUAACAAACUAUAAUCUGUGUGCGUCAUCAUGUUUGAAGAAAUAUAAAUAAGGUCAGCAUUUAUCAUCCAUCAUCUUUUUCAGAUUCACAAAUGAUUUAUUCUUGUUAGACUUGUGGACGUUGUGAAGAAAUGUAAUAAAUGUUUGUCACAUGACCACUGGGGGGUGCUGUGUGUGUACAUUAAACAUUUCAGAGAGGACAACCAACUGUAUCUGUAAUGAAUUCACAUGUGAAAGAAACAACAGAAGACGGUCCUUUUGCCUUCUGAAUAUAUCUUGAUUAAGUGUCGUGAAAAUAAAUAAUGCCACAUUGCUAAUAAUCCUAAUGGUCUAAACAGGCUUCCUUAGGUGACACAAACUAUACAUGUUUCUCAAAAUUUGUGAAAUUUACUGAAAUCAAUCAUUUUGUGACAGAUUUUAAUCGGGGGUCUAAUGCUAUUUCUUGCAUUCUGACUUAUUUACACUUAUUUACACUAUUUCUGUGCCUAAAAUACUCUUCAGAUUGCUCACAAACUUUGGACAGUUUUUUUUUUUUUUUUUUUCAGAGUAUGGCCCUUUAUUAUGUAAUAAAGGGUGGAAUUCCUUGUACGGGCACUUCCCCUGGAAAAGCGUGCACACACAUGCCCAUCAACACACUUCGUUCGGCUUAACGGAAGUCGUCGGCAGCCCUGCACAGGACUUGCUCGAGAAAGAUUUGUCACUUUGUUUUUAGACCACGAAAUCAACAAUGUCACCAAAGAAGUGUGUUUUUGGUUGUGACGGAAGAUAACCUUGCUUCCCAAAGAACCCAG